This 24-nucleotide microRNA is filed under the name Pan troglodytes (chimpanzee). Its description in RNAcentral is "ptr-miR-619". Its record names the gene ptr-miR-619. The record is from miRBase by way of RNAcentral. RNAcentral also lists the same sequence under 1 other name. Lineage: Eukaryota; Metazoa; Chordata; Mammalia; Primates; Hominidae.
GACCUGGACAUGUUUGUGCCCAGU